Molecule: RNA transcript, 775 nt
Organism: Frankliniella occidentalis (western flower thrips)
Lineage: Eukaryota; Metazoa; Arthropoda; Insecta; Thysanoptera; Thripidae
Exons: 3
Source: RefSeq, a predicted model, not a curated record
GCCCGUGCAGGUCUGUGGCGGGGGCGAGCGGCUACGCCCAACGGGGCGGGGCUGCGGCGGCGUCCUCGAUGUUCUUCUGCGGCGCGUGCGGCAAGGGUUACUCCUGGGCCGCGUCGCUCAAGGGGCACCAGCGCUACGAGUGCGGAAAGGAGCCCCAGUUUGCGUGUGACUACUGCCCGCUCAAGUUCAAACUGCGGGGCAACCUAAAGCGCCACCUACGUCAAAGCCACAACAUGGCCCUACCCAAGGGUCGUUGGUAGAACGGAUGGAGUGGAGCGGAGGAUUUUGGUGCAUUCAGCCUCCACGCGCAGCCGGCGAUGGAUCCUCUGGGGGGCUUCGGGCCUGCUUUUGGUCGCCCCAGGGGCGAGUUUGAGUGCCCCACAUGCGGUAAAAAGUACCUGCACCGGUCGUCGCUUUCCCACCAUACGCGUUUCGAGUGCGGCAAGGAGCCCCAGUUCAAGUGCCCGCACUGUCCACACCGCUGCAAGAGGAAAGGGAACUUCAGGCGCCAUCUUCUUACUCACGACUCGACUGACUGACAUGCAAAUAUACGCCAAGUUGGCCGAGCUGAAUGUUUUAUUUCUCCCCUUCACCCCGAGCCGCCCGCCCGCUGGGUAGGCAACCCAUCCUACUCCAGAUCAGGCUGGCCCCCGGCUCACUUUCCUCAUUCGCUGUACGGUCAACUCUGGCCCGUCCGACGCCCCCCAGGCAAGGGCUUCCAGUGUAAGGACUGCGGCAAAGUGUACAGCCACCAGCCUUCGCUCUGCAAGCACAG